AUACGUAGGGGGCGAGCGUUAUCCGGAAUUAUUGGGCGUAAAGAGUACGUAGGUGGUUUCCUAAGCGAGGGGUUUAAGGCACUGGCUUAACCAAUGUUCGCCCCCCGAACUGGGGAACUUGAGUGCUGGAGAGGAAAGCGGAAUUCCUAGUGUAGCGGUGAAAUGCGUAGAUAUUAGGAGGAACACCAGUGGCGAAGGCGGCUUUCUGGACAGUAACUGACACGGAGGUACGAAAGUGUGGGGAGCAAACAGGAUUAGAUACCCUGGUAGGCCACACCGUAAACGAUGAGCACUAGGUGUCGGGCUCGCAAGAGUUCGGUGCCGCAGUUAACGCAUUAAGUGCUCCGCCUGGGGAGUACGUACGCAAGUAUGAAACUCAAAUGAAUUGACGGGG
This 394-nucleotide ribosomal RNA is filed under the name uncultured bacterium. RNAcentral's name for it is "partial 16S ribosomal RNA". It matches the Rfam family "Bacterial small subunit ribosomal RNA", at positions 523 to 918 of the family's 1533-position model. The record is from RNAcentral.